This 438-nucleotide ribosomal RNA is filed under the name uncultured bacterium. Its description in RNAcentral is "bacterial SSU rRNA". It matches the Rfam family "Bacterial small subunit ribosomal RNA", at positions 954 to 1392 of the family's 1533-position model. The record is from RNAcentral.
GCAAAACGCGAAGAACCUUACCAGGUCUUGACAUCCCAAUGACCGCUCUAGAGAUAGAGUUUCCCUUCGGGGACAUUGGUGACAGGUGGUGCAUGGUUGUCGUCAGCUCGUGUCGUGAGAUGUUGGGUUAAGUCCCGCAACGAGCGCAACCCUUAUUCUUAGUUGCCAUCACUUAGUUGGGCACUCUAAGGAGACUGCCGGUGACAAACCGGAGGAAGGUGGGGAUGACGUCAAAUCAUCAUGCCCCUUAUGACCUGGGCUACACACGUGCUACAAUGGACGGUACAAAGAGCUGCGAACCCGCGAGGGUAAGCCAAUCUCAUAAAACCGUUCUCAGUUCGGAUUGUAGUCUGCAACUCGACUACAUGAAGCCGGAAUCGCUAGUAAUCGCGGAUCAGCAUGCCGCGGUGAAUACGUUCCCGGGUCUUGUACACACCG